CGGGCCUUGUACACACCGCCCGUCACACCAUGGGAGUGGGUUGUACCAGAAGUAGAUAGCUUAACCUUUUGGAGGGCGUUUACCACGGUAUGAUUCAUGACUGGGGUGAAGUCGUAACAAGGUAACCGUAGGGGAACCUGCGGUUGGAUCACCUCCUUACC
RNAcentral lists this ribosomal RNA (161 nucleotides) under Solobacterium sp. Its description in RNAcentral is "partial 16S ribosomal RNA". It matches the Rfam family "Bacterial small subunit ribosomal RNA", at positions 1375 to 1533 of the family's 1533-position model. Lineage: Bacteria; Bacillati; Bacillota; Erysipelotrichia; Erysipelotrichales; Erysipelotrichaceae. The record is from RNAcentral.